UACGUAGGGGGCAAGCGUUGUCCGGAAUCAUUGGGCGUAAAGCGCGUGUAGGCGGCUAUAAGUCUGCUCUGAAAGCCCGGGGCUCAACCCCGGGAGGCGGGUGGAUACUGUCUAGCUCGAGUCCGGAAGAGGAGUGUGGAAUUCCUGGUGUAGCGGUGAAAUGCGCAGAUAUCAGGAGGAACACCAAUGGCGAAGGCAGCACUCUGGGACGUGACUGACGCUGAGACGCGAAAGCGUGGGGAGCAAACAGG
Molecule: ribosomal RNA, 251 nt
Filed under: uncultured bacterium
Lineage: Bacteria
Description: partial 16S ribosomal RNA
Rfam family: Bacterial small subunit ribosomal RNA
Source: RNAcentral